Rhinopithecus bieti (black snub-nosed monkey) is the source of this 255-nucleotide unclassified non-coding RNA. It matches the Rfam family "Metazoan signal recognition particle RNA". Rfam says of the family: The signal recognition particle (SRP) is a universally conserved ribonucleoprotein. The record is from Ensembl. NCBI's taxonomy places the organism in Eukaryota, Metazoa, Chordata, Mammalia, Primates, Cercopithecidae.
GCCGGGUGCAGUGGUGCAUGCCUGAAGUUGCAGCUUUUUAGUCCCCGUAGUUCUGGACUGUAGUGCACUAUGCCUAUCUUUGUCCAUACUAAGUUCAGCAUCAGUGUGGUGACCUCCUGGUAACAGGGGACCACCAGAUUGCCUAAAGAAUGGGAUAUUCUACCCAGGGCAGAAAAACAGAACAGGUCAAAACUUUCGUGCUGAUCAUAGCUGGAUCACAUCUGUGAAUAGCACCCUAGCCAUAGUGAGCCCUGU